Molecule: transfer RNA, 93 nt
Filed under: Motilibacter peucedani
Lineage: Bacteria; Bacillati; Actinomycetota; Actinomycetes; Motilibacterales; Motilibacteraceae
Description: tRNA-OTHER
Rfam family: Selenocysteine transfer RNA
Source: RNAcentral
GGAGGCGUCUGCGUUCCUGGUGGGCGUCCCGGUCUUCAAAACCGGUGAGGGCGAGCAGCUCGUCCUGGCGGGUUCGAUUCCCGUCCGCCUCCG